Molecule: ribosomal RNA, 33 nt
Filed under: Swainsona campylantha
Lineage: Eukaryota; Viridiplantae; Streptophyta; Magnoliopsida; Fabales; Fabaceae
Also listed under: 2 other names
Description: partial 26S ribosomal RNA
Source: RNAcentral
GAGACCUCAGGUCAGGCGGGGCUACCCGCUGAA